Long non-coding RNA from Lycium barbarum (goji berry), 1907 nucleotides. RefSeq lists it as uncharacterized. The record is from RefSeq and is a predicted model, not a curated record. NCBI's taxonomy places the organism in Eukaryota, Viridiplantae, Streptophyta, Magnoliopsida, Solanales, Solanaceae. The transcript is spliced from 5 exons.
GACUUAUCUCCUUCAGCUGCACACCCCUCCUCUUCUCUCUCUUUCCCUUCCUCUCUCCUCUUCUUUCUCUUUCACUUUUCAACGGCAAAAAUAGCAAAUCCACAGUCGCCUUUCACCUUCCUCAGGCCAUGCAUGGCCGGAUUCGGAAAUAAAUUAAUACUUGUACCUCCGUCACAGUUCAAUGUUGAAAAGGGGUCUUCCACUUUCCCUCUUUGAUUCUUUGGAUCUGAAACAUUUUAAUGGAAUUUGUUCGUUUGCAAAAUGGAAACGUUUUUCCUAUUAGUUCUUUUCCAUUUUCGGGUACAAUUCUUAAUGGUUUUUGUCGAUCUACUUUCUUUUUCUGAUCGAGUGGUUGGGAAUACAUACAAAAAUCUGAACGUUGAACUAAAAUCCCGCCCGAUUUUUGAAUCCAAGGAAACCCUAGCCCAAACCCUAAUCCAUCCUAUAAAUAAUCGUUUUUUUUUCAGUCAAGGGGGUUUUUUUGGAGUCGCCGAAAUCCUAAAAAAGGUGUCUUGAGUUGCCUGAAAAUUCCAUAGGAAUCAGAAGCCCCUUUAGCCAAUAAAAAAUCAAAGAAAAAAAAAGAGUUCUUUAGUGCCUAGUAGUUGAAAUAAUUUCUGAUAUCGAGUCCAAAAAUACUAAGUUAUUUCUUUUGUUUUCGUUUGCCUGGUAUUGCUGCGAAUUCGAGUAUACGCAAGUUCGGAUUCGGCGGUGUUUCGAGAUAGGUCCGAGAACCCUCACACCCACUUCGCUGCACCCGAAGAAGAGAGCACAAUAUGAAUCAUUCUAAUCGUGAGUGGAUGUAUGAUAGAAUAUUGGAAGAUGGAUUUAUAAAUCCUAGGUUUAUUGAUGGGGUUGAGGACUUCAUUCCAGACCUACUUUUUUUCCAGAAGAUGUAUGGGAAAGUUGGAAGACAUAUUGGGCCUCUGACAAGUGGUUGGAAAAAUCUCGUAUCGCCACUCAAAAUCGACACAGUGAGACUGGUGGUCCAGGCACUGGUCCAAGCAAGCAUACUGGUGGUUCUAAAUCAACAGUGGAGCAUACUAUAAAAUUGGCAAUAGACCUACGUCGUCCUGCGAAUUCAUGGGAUGUCUUUAAGAAGCUGCACAAAAGAAAGGAUGGUAGCUUUGUUGAUCUUGAUCCCAAGUCUAAGAGCAUUAACAACUUGUGCCCCAUUCUAGCCUUCAGCCACAUGUGUACCAAUCACACACUGCUCCACCCAAACUUCAGUUGCUGCAUGCAGAGUUUUUCCAAGUUACUGCAUGAGAAAUUGUAGAAAAAUUAGGAUGAAAUGGAGGCUAGGGUGGCUGCUGCUAUAAGCUCAUCAUAUGAUUCACAAGAAGUUCAAGAACUCGAUGUAAAUAACAUAUACUUGGAUGUUGUGGGUGGAGAGAAAAAAUGACGUGUGUAUGGAUUAGGCUCUCAAGCUUUGACUAUGUAUAAAGAUUAUAAUUUUGCCACUUCAUGCAAUAUAGUGACUGAUCGUGCUGCUGAUCAAGAUCGCAUCAAAUUACUUGAGGAAGAGAUGUUGCGAAUGAAAGAAAAUCAAGAGAGGAUUCUUCAAGAGCGUGUAGAGGCGGAAGUGCAACAACGCGUAGAGAAGGAGGUCUCGGAUCGGUUUAAGUCUAUGGAGGAUCGAUGGUCUCACAUGAUGAGCGUGAUGGGUUUAUCUUCUCGCUCAUCUGGUAGUCCUACUCUCCCUAACAGGGACUCACCAAAUGCUUAAGUGUUUAACAUUUUAGACUUUGGUUAGUUGGAUAUUCUAAGUGUUGUUUCCAACGUUGUCAGACUUUUGUUAGUUGGAUGCUUUGUAAGUUUAAAAUUUUUGUAGACUUUUGCUUAUUGAAGUGGUGUAUUUGCGUGUUUUAACUGUAAGUUUUUGUAUUAUAAAUUUAAUAUUAUGUUUGUCA